AUACAGAGGGUGCGAGCGUUAAUCGGAAUUACUGGGCGUAAAGCGCGCGUAGGCGGUCUAUUAAGUCAGAUGUGAAAUCCCAGGGCUCAACCUUGGAACUGCAUCUGAUACUGGUAGACUAGAGUUUUGGAGAGGGAAGUAGAAUUUCAGGUGUAGCGGUGAAAUGCAUAGAGAUCUGAAGGAAUACCAGUGGCGAAGGCGACUUCCUGGCCAAAAACUGACGCUGAGGUGCGAAAGCGUGGGUAGCAAACGGGAUUAGAUACCCCAGUAGUCC
Molecule: ribosomal RNA, 274 nt
Filed under: uncultured bacterium
Lineage: Bacteria
Description: partial 16S ribosomal RNA
Rfam family: Bacterial small subunit ribosomal RNA
Source: RNAcentral